This 253-nucleotide ribosomal RNA is filed under the name uncultured bacterium. Its description in RNAcentral is "partial 16S ribosomal RNA". It matches the Rfam family "Bacterial small subunit ribosomal RNA", at positions 524 to 776 of the family's 1533-position model. RNAcentral also lists the same sequence under 1 other name. The record is from RNAcentral.
UACGUAGGUGGCGAGCGUUAUCCGGAAUUACUGGGUGUAAAGGGCGUGUAGGCGGGUUAGUAAGUCAGAUGUGAAAUUCCAAGGCUCAACCUUGGCGCUGCAUCUGAAACUAUUGAUCUUGAGUGCUGGAGAGGAAAGCGGAAUUCCUAGUGUAGCGGUGAAAUGCGUAGAUAUUAGGAGGAACACCAGUGGCGAAGGCGGCUUUCUGGACAGUAACUGACGCUGAGGCGCGAAAGCGUGGGGAGCAAACAGG